CGCGUAGGCGGACUUUUAAGUCGGGGGUGAAAGCCCAGGGCUCAACCCUGGAAUUGCCUUCGAUACUGAGAGUCUUGAGUUCGGAAGAGGUUGGUGGAACUGCGAGUGUAGAGGUGAAAUUCGUAGAUAUUCGCAAGAACACCAGUGGCGAAGGCGGCCAACUGGUCCGAUACUGACGCUGAGGCGCGAAAGCGUGGGGAGCAAACAG
Molecule: ribosomal RNA, 208 nt
Filed under: uncultured bacterium
Lineage: Bacteria
Description: partial 16S ribosomal RNA
Rfam family: Bacterial small subunit ribosomal RNA
Source: RNAcentral